This 380-nucleotide ribosomal RNA is filed under the name uncultured bacterium. RNAcentral describes it as "bacterial SSU rRNA". It matches the Rfam family "Bacterial small subunit ribosomal RNA", at positions 335 to 706 of the family's 1533-position model. The record is from RNAcentral.
ACUCCGUACGGGAGGCAGCAGUGGGGAAUAUUGCACAAGUGGGGGAAACCCUGAUGCAGCCAUGCCGCGUGUGUGAAGAAGGCCUUCGGUUGUAAAGCACUUUCAGUAGGGAGGAAGGUAGUGUAGUUAACACCUGCAUUAUUUGACGUUACCUACAGAAGAAGCACCGGCUAACUCCGUGCCAGCAGCCGCGGUAAUACGGAGGGUGCGAGCGUUAAUCGGAAUUACUGGGCGUAAAGCGCAUGCAGGCGGCCUGUUAAGUCAGAUGUGAAAGCCCGGGGCUUAACCUCGGAAUUGCAUUUGAAACUGGCAGGCUAGAGUCUUGUAGAGGGGGUAGGAAUUUCAGGUGUAGCGGUGAAAUGCGUAGAGAUCUGAAGGAA